Molecule: long non-coding RNA, 471 nt
Filed under: Malus domestica (apple)
Lineage: Eukaryota; Viridiplantae; Streptophyta; Magnoliopsida; Rosales; Rosaceae
Description: long non-coding RNA (MDOM_LNC014482)
Source: RNAcentral
CAUCUGCCUCAUCAUGCUUGCCCGCGGAAACAGAGGUGGAGACCUCGCCUCUACUACCGCCACCGCCGCCACAGCCACUAAAGAAACAAACUCCGCCGCCUCACACCAGAUCAUCACUCAAUCCCCUUCUAUGGAGCCCUCCACGUCAGCAUCUCCGCCGGUUAAGCUGAGCUACAAGUGCUCUGUUUGCGACAAGGGCUUCUCUUCCUACCAGGCGCUCGGAGGACACAAGGCCAGCCACCGGAAAGGCUCUGCAGCUGGAUCGGCCAUCGACGGCCCGUCCACGUCAUCAACCACAACAACCUCUGCCGCGGCCACCGCCACCGCUUCCGGUAGGUCCCACGAAUGCUCCAUCUGCCACAAGUCUUUCCCCACCGGUCAAGCCUUGGGCGGCCACAAGCGCUGCCACUACGAUGGCGGCGCCGCCGGAUCCACAGCCACCACCACCGCUACCACGAGCGCUAUAACUUC